This 126-nucleotide non-coding RNA is filed under the name Mycobacterium noviomagense. Lineage: Bacteria; Bacillati; Actinomycetota; Actinomycetes; Mycobacteriales; Mycobacteriaceae. The record is from RNAcentral.
GAUAUAGCCUCAGUCGCGGUAACCGUGUGAACGGCGAGGAAACCGGUGCAUAUUCCGGUGCGGUCGCGCCACUGUGACCAGCGUUUCGGCGUUGGAAGCCAGACCUUCCCGUGCACACAUCGCAGA